This is a small nucleolar RNA of Homo sapiens (human), 217 nucleotides long. It matches the Rfam family "Small nucleolar RNA U3". Rfam says of the family: Small nucleolar RNAs (snoRNAs) are involved in the processing and modification of rRNA in the nucleolus. There are two main classes of snoRNAs: the box C/D class, and the box H/ACA class. The record is from Rfam. Lineage: Eukaryota; Metazoa; Chordata; Mammalia; Primates; Hominidae.
AAGACUAUACUUCCGGAUAUCACUUCUAUAGUUUGUUACUAGAGAAGUUUUUCUGAACGUGUAGAGCACGGGAAAGCACAAGGGAGAAAUGUAGUUUUUUUUUCUGAGCGUGAAAAUGGUUUUUUGUUGUUGCUUUCAUUGCAAGUACGAUUUGCCAUUGACGAUCGUUCUUACUGUUCUCUUUGGAGGGUAAGAGGAAGAGAACGCGGUCUGAGUG